AUUGAACGCUGGCGGCAGGCCUAACACAUGCAAGUCGAACGGUAACAGGAAGAAGCUUGCUUCUUUGCUGACGAGUGGCGGAUGGGUGAGUAAUGUCUGGGAAACUGCCCGAUGGAGGGGGAUAACUACUGGAAACGGUAGCUAAUACCGCAUAACGUCGCAAGACCAAAGAGGGGGACCUUCGGGCCUCUUGCCAUCGGAUGUGCCCAGAUGGGAUUAGCUAGUAGGUGGGGUAACGGCUCACCUAGGCGACGAUCCCUAGCUGGUCUGAGAGGAUGACCAGCCACACUGGAACUGAGACACGGUCCAGACUCCUACGGGAGGCAGCAGUGGGGAAUAUUGCACAAUGGGCGCAAGCCUGAUGCAGCCAUGCCGCGUGUAUGAAGAAGGCCUUCGGGUUGUAAAGUACUUUCAGCGGGGAGGAAGGGAGUAAAGUUAAUACCUUUGCUCAUUGACGUUACCCGCAGAAGAAGCACCGGCUAACUCCGUG
This 490-nucleotide ribosomal RNA is filed under the name uncultured bacterium. Its description in RNAcentral is "partial 16S ribosomal RNA". It matches the Rfam family "Bacterial small subunit ribosomal RNA", at positions 30 to 507 of the family's 1533-position model. The record is from RNAcentral.